Molecule: ribosomal RNA, 995 nt
Filed under: Salmonella enterica subsp. enterica serovar Weltevreden
Lineage: Bacteria; Pseudomonadati; Pseudomonadota; Gammaproteobacteria; Enterobacterales; Enterobacteriaceae
Description: partial 23S ribosomal RNA
Rfam family: Bacterial large subunit ribosomal RNA
Source: RNAcentral
AGACCCGAAACCCGGUGAUCUAGCCAUGGGCAGGUUGAAGGUUGGGUAACACUAACUGGAGGACCGAACCGACUAAUGUUGAAAAAUUAGCGGAUGACCUGUGGCUGGGGGUGAAAGGCCAAUCAAACCGGGAGAUAGCUGGUUCUCCCCGAAAGCUAUUUAGGUAGCGCCUCGUGAAUUCAUCUCCGGGGGUAGAGCACUGUUUCGGCUAGGGGGCCAUCCCGGCUUACCAACCCGAUGCAAACUGCGAAUACCGGAGAAUGUUAUCACGGGAGACACACGGCGGGUGCUAACGUCCGUCGUGAAGAGGGAAACAACCCAGACCGCCAGCUAAGGUCCCAAAGUCAUGGUUAAGUGGGAAACGAUGUGGGAAGGCCCAGACAGCCAGGAUGUUGGCUUAGAAGCAGCCAUCAUUUAAAGAAAGCGUAAUAGCUCACUGGUCGAGUCGGCCUGCGCGGAAGAUGUAACGGGGCUAAACCAUGCACCGAAGCUGCGGCAGCGAAGGUAUCACCCAAGACAACUUUACGGAGUUGACGAUUGACGGAGCGAAGCGACGUCAAAGCGUAUACAAAGUCGAGUUGGCUUAGGGAUACGUUCGUUGGGUAGGGGAGCGUUCUGUAAGCCUGUGAAGGUGGCCUGUGAGGGUUGCUGGAGGUAUCAGAAGUGCGAAUGCUGACAUAAGUAACGAUAAAGCGGGUGAAAAGCCCGCUCGCCGGAAGACCAAGGGUUCCUGUCCAACGUUAAUCGGGGCAGGGUGAGUCGACCCCUAAGGCGAGGCCGAAAGGCGUAGUCGAUGGGAAACGGGUUAAUAUUCCCGUACUUGGUGUUACUGCGAAGGGGGGACGGAGAAGGCUAUGUUGGCCGGGCGACGGUUGUCCCGGUUUAAGCGUGUAGGUGUGUGUUCCAGGUAAAUCCGGUUCACUUUAACACUGAGGCGUGACGACGAGGCACUACGGUGCUGAAGCAACAAAUGCCCUGCUUCCAGGAAAAGCCUC